CAGUGGUGUAACGAUAUACGACAGAGACGAAAUUUGUAUUAAAGUGAUUUCGGUGAAGUUGAGUUCAUAUAUAAUCGUAAAAAAUUUAUAAAACAAUUACAAGAAAUACUGUGCUAAUGAGAAAUUAUUGAAGAUGUUCAAAUGGCAACGUUGAUUUCGCUAAUGAUUUAUCAAACUCGUCAAACGAAGACUUCUGAUACGAAAUCGAGUCAACGAUAAGACAACACUGAUAGAUACUUCUUCGAUCGUAUGAUGCAAUCGUCAAUGUCACGCGAAGGUAUCUCCCACUUCUACGCUCACGGCUGCGCAGUGGCGAUUCUCGUGGUGACUACGAGCUGCGUGCAUUCACUUAACAAUUUCUUCGGCUCUGCGCAACGUGUGACUACCACGCGGUGAUCCUUCAUAUUAAUCAAUAUCUGUAUCUAAUAAUUUUAUUUAUGCGGAUUUUUCAAGAUUUGACCACCUGAUCUGUAAAAAAUGUAUAAUUCGAAGUAUCCAAAUUUACUUUUAAAAAAGGAUUAUUUGAAAUACUGUGAAUCUUUUUUAAUGUAAUUUUGUGAGAAAUUAGAUAUUUUGUAAUUCGUAUCAUGAAUUCUCUUAGAAUUGUAACUUGUACGUUUUUACGUUAGUCACUUUGCUAUUUUUAGUUUGAUAAGAAUAUAGCAUAUCUGCUUCUGCUGUUAAAUCUACUACGCAAUUGUUACCUGCAACAUAAAUUUUGUAACUUACAGCGCGCGAUUCAAUUUCAAAUUUUCAAAAAAUCCUGCGAUACAAUAACUUUUUGCUAAAAACUUCACAUGCUUAUUUAAAGGAAGAACAGAUUUGUUAAUAAUAUAGUUUGCAUUUACAAAUUUAAUGAAACAGCCUUAUGUAACACGUCGCCUUCAGCCAUAUCGCUUAAACAUACAAAAGUCAUUAACAUAAAAAUUCUACCGCCCACGAAACCAAUGUCAAAACAUCAAAAACCUUACAAUUCAAUGAAACCAACCAUACCACCUUCGAGAUAAAUACGCAUGCAGUAGUUGUGCGCUUCCUCCAGUCAAUGUAGUGUAAAUCUCAGAGACCAUAAAAUUCAUUGACGUACAUCUCCGUUCAUAUUUAUUGGGACACGUGCUAGUCUCGUAUAUAUCGUGAUAAUUGAUGGAAAUUACAAAGGAAAUUAGUGAAAAGAGUUUAAGGUUCCAAUUCUAAAACUCUAAGUUUCGGUUUCCAAGACUCUAGAGUUCCAAUUCUGAAAAGUUUGAUAGCAAAAGUAUUUCAAUUCUCGUUCGUUAAUAGCGUAAUUAGGUCACUUUUCGUGACACAAGCUUAAACAUAGAGCACACGUAUUUUCAUUUCGUCGCCAAAAUGAUUAUGUUUAAAGAUCAGUGACCCGCGUCUACGAAUCUUAGAAAAGUUAAACAUUUUGUGGCACGUGUCACAUUUCGCUAAUCAACUUUCCACUCAACGAAUAGUACAAUAUGCGAUACUUCCACCGAAACUAUCUCAAAAUUAAACUUCGGACAAUCCAACCGUAAACACAACACCCAAUAAAUCUCUUGUAAAUCGUGAAUCGUGCUGGCAAUAGAUAUAACGUGCGAACAAAUUGGUAUAGUUGGAAAGAACCGGAAGCAAGAGCGGAGAGAAUAAACGGCGGAGGCGUCGUUUUGGCGCGUUCGUGGUAAAACAAACAGUGCACACGACGCGACGUUCGAGGCGCGGAUGAAAAGUUUGGCGUGUGUUUCGUGCAUGCGCCUCCAACGCGAUGCACAUAUUACAGUAACCAGACACGGUGAGAAAGAGAGACAGUGGUUAGGAAAGAUCGUGCAAACAACCAGACGGCGAUAGAGCGUGCGAGCAAGAUCGUGGCCGCAUGAUCGGCCACGGGACAAUGUAAUCGAGACGAUAAACUAGAUAACUCGUAAUUAAAGUUUGCAGAUCGAUCCAUGGCCCCCGUGGAAUGAAUUAAUUACGAGUAAAUUGCGAGUUCGCGUUUAUGUAACUACGCCGCGCCGAUUUUGUCGUAAAAGUAAAAGGAAUCGGGUUCACCGGUUUAAUUUAUCGAUCUGCUAUCGGUUUGGUUGGUAGUUUCACAGUUGAAAGUAUUAAGUUUGCUGCUUUAUUUAAUCCUGUUAUGGUUUUUGAUUUUUUACGCUAUAACCUCGAUCUCAUUUCAACGAACGAAAAGAUACUUCAUGUUUGAAAAAUACUUUGGCAUAACGUUGAAGGGAAAAACUACCAAGAAAAUCAAUGACUUUUUCGUGCUUUUUCUUCAAUUUAAGAAAUUAGAUGCUUCAAAUGAUGUAACAGAUAUAACUCAGAAUAAUUUUUCCAGUGAUAUAGAAUGCUUCUAAAAGUAAUGAAUGUGGGAAAAAAUAUACGAUAUAUAAAGUCUCCAAUUUAAAUCUAAGAAUAUGUAAUCGCAGUUUUGAUUUGAAUAAUAAAUUGUUUACGUAGAAAUAUUUAUAUGAAAAACAAUGUAAUAAACUUCGUAAGCUACUUGCCUAUUGCCUAAAAGAAAUUAAUUUGGCAAUAAAACAAGACAUUCUAAAUUAUUUCACAUACAGAAACGAUUACUUGGCCUGAAAAAAGAAGCAUGACUUUAUUCAGGUUACUAAACGCAUGUCAGAAUUUGUACUAUGGUAAUUACGUACACAUGCAACUAUCAAAAAAUUGUAACCCGAUGAUUAGAUUUCUCCAACAUCACAUUUCUCUUGCUAACCAGACAACUUUUACUUAAACAACAUUCUAUAUUAUCAACAGUUUGCGAAAUAACCCUGUACAUCCGCAUGAAACCUUAUUUAACAGAUUGCAACUUCAGGCCAGUUCUCGUACAAUUUUCUUUGGAUUACACCGUUACCUAAUACUUGUAGCUUCAUUAUUAUGCACGAAACCGGCGGGCAAACUAGCGUAACCGAAGCGUUUCAAACGUUCAGUUUCGACAGCAGGAAAUUCUGAGAGUUAAUAUGGUUAAUCGUAAUCGCUGAAACCAAUCAAAUCUCAUACACGAUCGAUCAAGUAGAACGGGAAUUUUGUAAAUUCUGAUAAAUCACAAUUAAAGAGUAUGAGUUAAUUAUGGAAUGGAGGCAGCGAUAUGAGCUAUUUAACCGUGAAUCUGGGUCAUCGAAAUUCUUUUUAUGGAUAAACGUGCAUACAUGCGCUAUGAUCUGCCACGUGCACGCAUAUAAACGCAAUUAUGCAUGAGGUGUAUUGUCGACUUUACUUUUAAGUCAGUAGGACCGGAAACCAAAACGACCGAACGAUACUGGAAUAUUAAAUUAGUCGAAAAUUGACCGCUAUCUCAUUGCGAAAUUAAACCUGUUUCAUCUGGAACGUUUCCUAGCUGCAUCGUAUAUUAUAUUCUUCGAGAUAUUAAAUAUAAAGAUCUUAAGAAAACGUAAAAGAAGAGUUUUUUGGUAUUAUAAUUCGUAAGGCUUAAUUCCUUCGUAUUGAAAAAAAAAAAAAAAAAAAAAAAAAGAAGAAAACGAGAUAUAUGAAAAUAAAUUGUUCUUUGAAGAUAUUGUUAUUUGUUAGCGAUAAUCUUACAAGAUAUCGUAAUUGAUCAUGAUAGUUCAGUCCUGUCUUUACGUUCAUUGCUGUGUAAAAAAGAUACAACAUAUUCAUUUAGAAUUAUUGAACAUAAAAAGUCAAUUAAUUUAAGCCAAAUGAAAUUAAUGAAGCACACUGAUCAAUAAUCCUAUUCAAAUAAUAAAAUGUAGACAUAAAUCGAGAAAGAAGAAAUAGUUAGCCUAACUAAAAGCGCUUCCUGCUUUAAUUAAAAGUUCACGCGUGACCCACGGUGCACAAAGCUUCAUGUACGCGCGAAUUCGUGGAACAGCAAAUUCCGCGGCAGAAUGGCGAGCAUAGAACAAUAUUUCCUUUGUAAUAAUUAGACACGACAGGCUUCGGAGGAAGCGAAAGAUGCGUUCCUCUCGCGGCCAUGAUCGAGAGUGAGAAACGCGUGACAUGACGCGAACGGAAAAGAGACGGCGUAGAAGAGAAAUUGCGUACAAUAUGUAGUGAAACAAGUGCCGUUAGUCGUGUUGGUGUCAGAAACGGUUUCACGUUCCGUCUGAUUAUACAUUAGCCUGAUUUAAUAAUCCCAAUAUUAAAUUCUGAUAAUAAUUAGUCCCAAUGAACAUUGGUGUAAUGUCUCAUAGACAUUGUUUCGAGGUUUGGUUUACGAGCUACAAUCAAGUAUAUCGUAUAUUUUACUAACUUAAAGGAAGGUAAUUUUUAAAACUGAAUAUAUUUAUGCAGAUUUAUAUUUUUGCCGAUAUAAGUGAGAAAAUUAAACUUCAGUAGAAAUAUACUUUAACCGUUAAAUGUUAUUACAAGUACUAUCAUACUUUGAAUAUUUUAUAUAUUUUUGUAUCAUCAAGUUUCUCACAAAUGCAUUAGAAUUGGCAGUGUAAUGAUAAACUAUGAAGUUGUCUUAAUACUAAAAAAUACUAUGAGUUUACGUAUCAUAUAAUUGUGGAAAUAUAA
Molecule: long non-coding RNA, 4467 nt
Organism: Bombus pascuorum
Lineage: Eukaryota; Metazoa; Arthropoda; Insecta; Hymenoptera; Apidae
Exons: 3
Source: RefSeq, a predicted model, not a curated record